This is a long non-coding RNA of Gambusia affinis (western mosquitofish), 305 nucleotides long. RefSeq lists it as uncharacterized. The record is from RefSeq and is a predicted model, not a curated record. The transcript has 3 exons. NCBI's taxonomy places the organism in Eukaryota, Metazoa, Chordata, Actinopteri, Cyprinodontiformes, Poeciliidae.
AACAGCGCUUCCUGUUUGGAUGCGUAGAGGUAAACCCACGGCUUCAUCCGCGUGCCUCUUUGUGCUCGGCUUCUGGAGGGGGAUCAGACGAAGUAGCAAACAGGUGUGAGCAGAACCCAACACGCUAGCGUGACCUGCGACCUUGCGACUGCGUGGAGCCCAGCAGCAGUGGGAGAUCCCGGGUGUCAAGGAGACAGAAGUUGAGCAACAAUUGGAGGCGACAGCUCAUUCAUCAUGGCCAAGAUUAGUGACGUUUCCCAGUGGCAGCUCAAGUUGGGCCUCUUGCGACCAAAGAGUGUAUGGAC